This 899-nucleotide long non-coding RNA is filed under the name Salvia miltiorrhiza (redroot sage). RNAcentral's name for it is "long non-coding RNA (SMIL_LNC007344)". Lineage: Eukaryota; Viridiplantae; Streptophyta; Magnoliopsida; Lamiales; Lamiaceae. The record is from RNAcentral.
CUGGGUAUAGGCUUUAGCAUAAAAGAGUUGAGGAUGGUACGCAUCAACGAGACAUAAACUUGUCUUUGCCCAAAGAUGCAAGAUCAAAAAUUGGCAUUAAAUCACUAAAAGAUUUCUUGGUGAAACGCACUCAACUUGCAGAUAGCAGCUAGUCCUCAUUUAUCUUCUCCUAAUUUUGAUAUUAAGAAUCCAAUCUUCUCCUGCCGGUUUAGGAAUGGAUUUCGGCUUAUGCUCUCCUAGAGUUGACAAUGGAGUUGGUAGGUGCAGAUUUUCAGGUUCAAUGUGCACCUGAUCUGAUUAUUUCCAGAAAAGAAUUAGUUGAUAAUCAGAACCAACAAUGUAAUUCAUAAGAAGAAAACACCUUUCGCAACAAAAGUUGGGUCAUUUCAUUCAAUUAAUUCUGAUUCCAGCAAUUAAAAAUGAUUAGGCACUCCCUCAAGGUUAAUACUGAUGCAGCACUCAGAUAAAUAGCCAGUUCAUAAAGCAGAAACAAUAAGAAGUUGCAUACAAGAAGAUGGCAAAUGAACAGGCACGAUCAAUCUUUUAGCUUACAUGUUUAAGAUAAUUCUAUUUAAGUCAACUUUUAUUAAGUCAACAGAGCACAUGGCAGAGCUCAAAUCUGAAAGAUGUUUUUUGGCAACACUUUACAUCUAAGAGACCAGCUCCUGAACAACCUGUUCUAUCCCCCAUAUACUGGAUCCAAAAUCAUUUUACUGACUUGAAGAAAUUGAAUUCAUGAAUCAAUAACAUACUUACCAACACACACACAUACAAACAAUAAUUUAAUUCACAAACGAAAGCUUAGACUCCUCUCUGAAUCUCAAUAGCAUAAGAGUGAACUCAUACCUCUCAGCCAAGAUUCAUCUCCUUUGCCCCCUAUGGCGAACUUCCGUAUACUC